GUUCCAGUCUCAGCCAACCAGGCGGUCACCCUCACAUCUGGACGGCCCUGAGUAAGGAGUGUCUGUCUCUGUUGUCAGACCUGACUGAGCGGCUGGUAGCCCACCAUGACACUGUAGCUACUAACGGACGGGCCAAGUCCCAGUCUACAGGAAGCAACAAGCGGCCCACCAUCUCCUCGGAAAGCUCCGUAUCUUCUGUCG
Salvelinus sp. IW2-2015 is the source of this 201-nucleotide non-coding RNA. Lineage: Eukaryota; Metazoa; Chordata; Actinopteri; Salmoniformes; Salmonidae. The record is from RefSeq and is a predicted model, not a curated record.